GACGAACGCUGGCGGCGUGCUUAACACAUGCAAGUCGAACGGAAAGGCCCUGAUUUUGUGGGGUGCUCGAGUGGCGAACGGGUGAGUAACACGUGAGUAACCUGCCCUUGACUUUGGGAUAACUUCAGGAAACUGGGGCUAAUACCGGAUCGGAGCUCCUGCUGCAUGGUGGGGGUUGGAAAGUUUCGGCGGUUGGGGAUGGACUCGCGGCUUAUCAGCUUGUUGGUGGGGUGGUGGGUUACCAAGGCUUUGAAGGGUAGCCGGCCUGAGAGGGUGACCGGCGACAUUGGGACUGAGGGACGGCCCAGACGCCUACGGGAGGCAGCAGGGGGGAAUAUUGCACAAGGGGCGGAAGCCUGAUGCAGCAACGCCGCGUGCGGGAUGACGGCCUUCGUGGGGUAAACCGCUUUCGCCUGUGACGAAGCGUGAGUGACGGUAAUGGGUAAAGAAGCACCGGCUAACUACGUG
This 468-nucleotide ribosomal RNA is filed under the name uncultured bacterium. RNAcentral describes it as "partial 16S ribosomal RNA". It matches the Rfam family "Bacterial small subunit ribosomal RNA", at positions 28 to 507 of the family's 1533-position model. The record is from RNAcentral.